CUUAAAUUGGGUCAAGAAGGGAAGUAUCGCGUCUACCACAAUCAAUACUCCACUAAUUCAUUUGCUUUGAAUAAGCACCAGCACAGAGAAGACCAUGAUAAGAGAAGGCAUCUUGCACAUAAGUUCUGUCUGACUCCAGCAGGAGAGUUCAAAUGGAACGGUUCUGUCCAUGGGUCCAAAGUUCUUACCAUAUCUACUCUGAGACUGACUAUCACCCAAUUAGAAAACAACAUCCCUUCAUCCUUUCUUCAUCCCAACCGGGCAUCACAUAGGGCAAACUGGAUCAAGGCAGUUCAGAUGUGUAGCAAACUCAGAGAAUUUGCAUUGGCUUUAGCCAUUUUGGAGUGUGCAGUUAAACCAGUUGUGAUGCUACCAAUAUGGCGAGAAUCUUUAGGACAUACCAGCUUUCUCCCUUUGUCUCAUAACCAUGUCCACCAAUGAGAAUGCUAAUACACAAGCUGCCCAUCUUCACAGAUCUAAGAACAAGGGAAAGGACAGUACAGU
RNAcentral lists this long non-coding RNA (504 nucleotides) under Homo sapiens (human). RNAcentral describes it as "non-protein coding lnc-LRRC37A3-5:15". The record is from RNAcentral. Lineage: Eukaryota; Metazoa; Chordata; Mammalia; Primates; Hominidae.